RNAcentral lists this ribosomal RNA (247 nucleotides) under uncultured bacterium. RNAcentral describes it as "partial 16S ribosomal RNA". It matches the Rfam family "Bacterial small subunit ribosomal RNA", at positions 57 to 305 of the family's 1533-position model. The record is from RNAcentral.
GCAAGUCGAACGAGAACGGUCAUUCGGGAUGUUAGCGAAGUGGCGGACGGGUGGGUAAUGUAUAGUUAAGCUGCCCUUUAGAGGGGGAUAACAGUUGGAAACGACUGCUAAUACCCCAUACUCCUUUUACAUUAAUUGUAAUUGGGAAACGUUUUUUCGCUAAAGGAUGAGACUAUAUGGUAUCAGGUAGUUGGUGGGGUAAGAGCCCACCAAGCCAAUGACGCCUAGCUGGUCUGAGAGGAUGAUC